RNAcentral lists this small nuclear RNA (164 nucleotides) under Aotus nancymaae (Ma's night monkey). Its description in RNAcentral is "U1 spliceosomal RNA (ENSANAG00000031155.1)". It matches the Rfam family "U1 spliceosomal RNA". From Rfam's summary of the family: U1 is a small nuclear RNA (snRNA) component of the spliceosome (involved in pre-mRNA splicing). Its 5' end forms complementary base pairs with the 5' splice junction, thus defining the 5' donor site of an intron. The record is from Rfam by way of RNAcentral. Lineage: Eukaryota; Metazoa; Chordata; Mammalia; Primates; Aotidae.
GUUCUUACCUGGCAGGGGAGAUACCAUGAUCGCAAAGGUGAUUUUCCCGUGGCUGGGUUUAUCCGUUGCCCUCAGGGUGUGCUGACCCCUGAGAUUUCCCCAAAUUCGGGAAACUCAGCUGCAUAAUUUGUGGUAGUGGGGGACUGUGUUCACGCUUUCCCCUG